This 253-nucleotide ribosomal RNA is filed under the name uncultured bacterium. RNAcentral's name for it is "partial 16S ribosomal RNA". It matches the Rfam family "Bacterial small subunit ribosomal RNA", at positions 524 to 776 of the family's 1533-position model. The record is from RNAcentral.
UACGAAGGGGGCUAGCGUUGCUCGGAAUCACUGGGCGUAAAGCGCACGUAGGCGGCUUGCUAAGUCAGGGGUGAAAUCCUGGAGCUCAACUCCAGAACUGCCUUUGAUACUGGCGAGCUUGAGUCCGGGAGAGGUGAGUGGAACUGCGAGUGUAGAGGUGAAAUUCGUAGAUAUUCGCAAGAACACCAGUGGCGAAGGCGGCUCACUGGCCCGGUACUGACGCUGAGGUGCGAAAGCGUGGGUAGCAAACAGG